AGCGGCUCAGGGCGGACGGGACGACUUCAGUCCGUCACUGAAACAAGGUGGCUGCUUCAGAUGGGGAAGUUAGGAGCUCGUGUUUCGGGUGUUGGGGAGUCUGUGCGGACCUUGUGAGGAGAAGCUAAUGCUUCUGAUCUGCAGCUCAGCCCCCCCGUCUGCUUAACCAUGCCACUGGUCUUGGAUGCCGUGUGGGCGCUGUGGAGCAUUGGAGCUGGUAUCUAUGACUACUUCCAUACCAGCGCCAUGGAGGAGAGGAUCCACACGCUGGAGAACCUCCUCUCUAUCCACCAGUGUGUGAUCACAGCCCUGUCUGCAGGCUUCAUCCUGCUCAUGAUGUACAUACUGUGGAGAAAACACUAAAACCUCACCGUCCUGGGCAACUGAUGCCACUAACUGUUGUCUUGCUGCAGGACAUCCUUUUUACCUGGGCUAAUUUCCUUCCAGGUGUUGGCACAGGGACAUUCUGAUUCAUACAGCUGUUGACACUUGAGGAUGACGUGUGUUCAAUGAAGGUGUCCAAGGUGAGGUCAGGAGCACUAAAGAGCAACUAAACCGAGGACUAUGGCUCCAUCAGGACAUCUUGUCCCUGCAAACUUGUCGUUAGUUGAGCUGCGUCUGUCUGUCUGUGUUUUUUUAAUGUUACAGUUGCCUGAGUCAUCUACAGACCAGUGUCCACAUUAACCCAAAAUCACAGCUGCUUCUCAAGGCAACUUAGCACUUUGACCUUUUUUUGCCAAGCUUGAAAGAAUUCAAUGUCCAGAGAUUUUACAACCUUUGAUUUGCUACAGAAGCAAAGUGCGACUAGUUGCCGCUAAGUUUUCUAGCCAUGAUAUCACAAUGUGAUUACUUUGUUUUCAAAGAUCGGUAAUGAUGGGUUUGUUUUUACAUAUCGUUUUUUUUUUUGUCUGAGUCAUUACAACUUCAUUAUUUCUGUCCAGUCUCCUCUGUUAUCUCUGCUUUGUUCUCUCCUCAGAUCUCACAAAGUAGAGAUGAAUAAUAAUAAUGAAUUCCACUUUGGAUAGACUGAAAAGUAGAUAAGUCUGUUAUCUGAAGCUAUUGAUGCAUUUAAGUUCACUGAGCAGUGUCUAAAGAAAAUAACCAGUCAGUUGAAUAUGUAUAGUUGCUUUCAGACAUGCACUGAAGUCUGGACAUUUUCCUGAACUCUUCUGGAGGGGCUGUAUGAGAGAACUCAAAUGUCUCCAUAAGUUGCUCUGGACCUUUUACAGAACUUUAACCCGCCUGCCCUAAUGCAAAAUGUCAGAAUAAGCCUAUAUGAGAAUACAGCAGGGAAAUAACUGGAAAAUUCACAGCAAGCAAGUAUAUUGAUGAAAGAAUGCAAAUAUGUCAAUAUGAAAAACAGGAGCCAUACACACAGAAGACACAGACUAAGAGAUUCAGAAGAUUGUGGUGAUGUGAGGGCCGACACAAGUUCCUGUUCUUUCCACAGUAGGAUUUAUAUAUUUUUUCAUAUGUAAAACACAAACUCCAGGAAAUGUCCCGACCCAAGUUUCUGGACAUUCUCCAGAGUUCGUGUCUGACAAAAGCUUAUGUCCGGCAGGUGGUAGGCAGAUCGAGGCUUUGAGGAGAAUAUGUCUCGGCUGUUAAACUCUGGGUGUUUUACAGUUUUAACUACAGUAGAAUAAGAGAAGAUAAACAUUCAAUUCCAACACUGGGAAAUGAAUAAAUCCGUUGUGGUUCUUUUUCUUAUGCUGUCUAAUGUGUUUAGGAACUGCAGCUUGUGUGUCUGUGUGUUUGCAUUUACAUUUUUACCAACCAUGUUUCCAGGAUGUGUCAUUCAGGAUUCCCCUUGCUUUUCACACUCUGUUAAAAAAAUGUGAUCAGAGGAUUUAAUCAGAUGUAUUGAUCAAUUGCUAACUCUCUGUGCUGCAUCUGCUAUCGGACAGACCUCUGCCAUGGCUUCUUCUAAAGGGAAUAUGAGUGGAUAAUAAGCCAGAACUUUGCUUUUGCCCACUUGUUUGUUUUAAUUACAUUUUUCUUUCCUGUUCUGUUAACUGAGUUGUUUUUAAAUGGAAUAAAUUAAAUUAUGUUAAAUGA
This is a long non-coding RNA of Limanda limanda (common dab), 2058 nucleotides long. RefSeq lists it as uncharacterized. The transcript is spliced from 2 exons. Lineage: Eukaryota; Metazoa; Chordata; Actinopteri; Pleuronectiformes; Pleuronectidae. The record is from RefSeq and is a predicted model, not a curated record.